RNAcentral lists this ribosomal RNA (539 nucleotides) under uncultured bacterium. RNAcentral's name for it is "bacterial SSU rRNA". It matches the Rfam family "Bacterial small subunit ribosomal RNA", at positions 355 to 895 of the family's 1533-position model. The record is from RNAcentral.
UGAGGAAUAUUGGUCAAUGGGCGCAAGCCUGAACCAGCCAAGUAGCGUGCAGGAAGACGGCCCUAUGGGUUGUAAACUGCUUUUAUACGAGAAUAAUUUGAUGCACGUGUGCGUUAUUGCAUGUAUCGUAUGAAUAAGGACCGGCUAAUUCCGUGCCAGCAGCCGCGGUAAUACGGAAGGUCCAGGCGUUGUCCGGAUUUAUUGGGUUUAAAGGGAGUGUAGGCGGUUUGUUAAGCGUGUUGUGAAAUUUAGGUGCUCAACAUUUAACUUGCAGCGCGAACUGUCAGACUUGAGUACACGCAACGUAUGCGGAAUUCAUGGUGUAGCGGUGAAAUGCUUAGAUAUCAUGAAGAACUCCGAUUGCGAAGGCAGCAUACGGGAGUGUAACUGACGCUUAAGCUCGAAGGUGCGGGUAUCGAACAGGAUUAGAUACCCUGGUAGUCCGCACAGUAAACGAUGGAUGCCCGCUGUUAGCGCCUGGCGUUAGCGGCUAAGCGAAAGCAUUAAGCAUCCCACCUGGGGAGUACGCCGGCNACGGU